This 166-nucleotide unclassified non-coding RNA is filed under the name soil metagenome. RNAcentral describes it as "partial internal transcribed spacer 1". The record is from RNAcentral.
GUUGAAUUGAAUAUGUUAGCGGACCUCUUCGGAGGUCCCUAGCAUCAAAUCAUAUCCAUAACACCUGUGAACUGUAAGGCUGUCUUGAAAACGGAAAGUGAUUAGAGCGCCUGCCCAUUUUAUACAAACAUUAAAGUAACAAACGUAGUUCUAUUAUAAUCUAAUA